CAACUUCCACCUGGCAUACCUCUUCAGUUAUGCAUCAAGGGUUUUAUCWCCUUGAGCGUAUUGUGGGUUUCYUGUGUUGAAUUCCAAUCUGAUGGUAUUGUUUUGGCUAAUGGAAGUCCCUUUUCAUUUUGUGUUGCCUUUGUGAUUCAAGAUGAACCAUGAAGUGGUCUCUAUGUUCCAUUAUGUUGAUGCAAAUGCAUUGAUGUUGUGGCCCAUUGAGAGUUACUAGGUGUCUUGGAUAUGGAACAUUUUGUGGGCAUUGGGUCUUUAAUGGCUCUUCUUUUGUCCUUGUUUAGUGUUCUUCAAAAUGACAGUUCAUGCGUGCUAGGCUUGUACUUGUGCGAUGAUCUAUGUCAAAGAGGAACGCUACCUGGUUGAUCCUGCCAGUAGUCAUAUGCUUGUCUCAAAGAUUAAGCCAUGCAUGUGUAAGU
This 431-nucleotide unclassified non-coding RNA is filed under the name Oldfeltia polyphlebia. RNAcentral describes it as "partial contains external transcribed spacer and 18S ribosomal RNA". The stretch from base 368 to 431 matches the Rfam family "Eukaryotic small subunit ribosomal RNA", at positions 1 to 64 of the family's 1831-position model. The record is from RNAcentral. Lineage: Eukaryota; Viridiplantae; Streptophyta; Magnoliopsida; Asterales; Asteraceae.